GGACGACCUUCGGGAGCUUGUACAGGUACUGCAUGGCUGUCGUCAGCUCGUGUCGUGAGAUGUUCGGUUAAGUCCGCUAACGAGCGCAACCCUCGCUGUGUGUUACAAGUGUCACACGGAACUGCCGGUCAUAAACCGGAGGAAGGUGGGGAUGACGUCAAGUCAGCAUGGCCUUUAUAUCCUGGGCUACACACACGCUACAAUGGGAAGGGACAAUAGGUUGCGAAGCCGCGAGGCGGAGCCAAUCCAGCAAAACUUCCCUCAGUUCAGAUUGCAGGCUGCAACUCGCCUGCAUGAAGUUGGAGUUGCUAGUAAACGCAGGUCAGCCAUACUGCGUUGAAUACGUUCCCGGGGCUU
RNAcentral lists this ribosomal RNA (357 nucleotides) under uncultured Anaerolineaceae bacterium. RNAcentral's name for it is "bacterial SSU rRNA". It matches the Rfam family "Bacterial small subunit ribosomal RNA", at positions 1009 to 1382 of the family's 1533-position model. Lineage: Bacteria; Bacillati; Chloroflexota; Anaerolineae; Anaerolineales; Anaerolineaceae. The record is from RNAcentral.